ACGUAGGGGGCGAGCGUUGUCCGGAAUUACUGGGCGUAAAGAGCACGUAGGCGGGAACUUAAGUCAGGGGUGAAAGACCGGGGCUCAACUCCGGGGUGGCACUAGAAACUGGGUGUCUUGAGGGCAGGAGAGGAAAGCAGGAUUCCUAGGGUAGGGUUGAAAUCCUAAGAGCUCGGGAGGACUACCAGUGGCGAAGGCGGCUUACUGGAACGAACCUGACGGUGAGGAACGAAAGCCUGGGGCGCGAACCG
This 251-nucleotide ribosomal RNA is filed under the name uncultured prokaryote. RNAcentral describes it as "partial 16S rRNA". It matches the Rfam family "Bacterial small subunit ribosomal RNA", at positions 525 to 775 of the family's 1533-position model. The record is from RNAcentral.